CCAAAGGCUCUUUUCAGAGUCACCAACACAGUCACUCUUAAGAGCUGU
Molecule: non-coding RNA, 48 nt
Organism: Xenopus laevis (African clawed frog)
Lineage: Eukaryota; Metazoa; Chordata; Amphibia; Anura; Pipidae
Source: Rfam